RNAcentral lists this ribosomal RNA (906 nucleotides) under uncultured archaeon. RNAcentral describes it as "bacterial SSU rRNA". It matches the Rfam family "Archaeal small subunit ribosomal RNA", at positions 21 to 903 of the family's 1478-position model. The record is from RNAcentral.
CCCCACUGCUAUCGGGAUGGGACUAAGACAUGCUAGUCGAGCGUCUCCAAGCUAUGGAAGAGACGCGGCACACAGCUCAGUAACACGUGGCUAACCUGCCCUUGGGACAAGGACAACUCCGGGAAACUGGGGCUAAUCCCUGAUAAGUGAGAACUCCUGGAAUGGAUUCUCGCUCAAAGGACGUUUAGACCAUGCUUCUAGGCGUCGCCCAAGGAGGGGGCCGCGACCGAUCAGGUUGUUGGUGAGGUAACGGCUCACCAAGCCUUUAACCGGUACGGGCCGUGAGAGCGGAGGCCCGGAGAUGGGCACUGAGACAAGGGCCCAGGCCCUACGGGGCGCAGCAGUCGCGAAAACUCCGCAAUACACGAAAGUGUGACGGGGCUAUCCCGAGUGCCAUCCGCUGAGGAUGGCUUUUCCCCAGUGUAUAAAGCUGGGGGAAUAAGGAGAGGGCAAGCCUGGUGUCAGCCGCCGCGGUAAUACCAGCUCUCCGAGUGGUGGGGAUGCUUAUUGGGCCUAAAGCAUUCGUAGCCUGCUUGGCAAGUCCUCCGUUAAAUCCAACGAUUCAAUCGUUGGGCUGCGGGGGAUACUGUCCGGCUAGGGGGCGGGAGAGGCCGACGGUAUCCUCGGGGUAGGGGUGAAAUCCUAUAAUCCCGGGAGGACCACCAGUGGCGAAGGCUGUCGGCUAGAACGCGCUCGACGGUGAGGGAUGAAAGCUGGGGGAGCGAACCGGAUUAGAUACCCGGGUAGUCCCAGCUGUAAACGAUGCAGGCUAGGUGUUGGCGCGGCUACGUGCCGCUCCAGUGCCGCAGGGAAGCCGUUAAGCCUGCCGCCUGGGAAGUACGGCCGCAAGGCUGAAACUUAAAGGAAUUGGCGGGGGGGCACCACAAGGUGUGAAGCUUGCGGUUU